Molecule: long non-coding RNA, 205 nt
Organism: Frieseomelitta varia
Lineage: Eukaryota; Metazoa; Arthropoda; Insecta; Hymenoptera; Apidae
Exons: 4
Source: RefSeq, a predicted model, not a curated record
ACACUUCACAUCAGUAUUAAUUUUUUGGGGAAAAAUCCAACGAUGGCUCUAAAGCCAAGAAUAUUUUCUACACUCUCCACUUCCCCUAAUCUUCUUAUGAUGCUUCAAAAGCUAAAUAUGAAAGUUUUCACGGCGAUCUUCACGAUAACUUUCCCUGCUCCAGUGCAGCAUUGAUGAUAACAUUCUUCACAUCUAUCCCGUGAGU